Molecule: long non-coding RNA, 542 nt
Filed under: Zalophus californianus (California sea lion)
Lineage: Eukaryota; Metazoa; Chordata; Mammalia; Carnivora; Otariidae
Description: lncRNA (ENSZCAG00015003421.1)
Source: RNAcentral
UCUAUAAGGAAUCGUUUGGGAGAGGUGGUAGAAAUAAAUGAGAGCACCUGUUUAUCAUUAAAAACGAAAGACUGAACUGUUGCAGUUACUUUCUAAAGUCACUUUUUUUUAUAGGAAGAUUUUGGAUAAAUCAUUAUCAAGGAAGCUAAGGACACCUGUGUUGUAUUGAAAGCACACCAGCCAUGAAAUCGGAAGGCCCAAAUUUGAAUUCCAGUUAUUCACAAAUUUACUAUGUAUCAAGCUUGGCACUGAAAUACAGCUCUCCAGAUCCUAGACUGAGGAUGAGGGGCAGCAAGAUUCAGAAGCCUUCUUUGGUCACUGAUGACACACUCCAUCUAAAUUAUCUUUGACAGUCUUGCACAGCAAGAUAUGAAGGCUUUGCCCCCUACGUUCUCAAAAUUAAGGGAACACGGAAUUCCCAAAGACUGAUGAUGACAUUUGUACUAAGAAGAGCUGUCCAGGAAGAGCUCCCCCAACUUUUCUCCCUGGAGUGAAGAGCCAGCUACUCCAUUGGUUCUGAUCUUCGCAGAUGUUAACAGAUC